This 95-nucleotide ribosomal RNA is filed under the name Paenibacillus faecis. RNAcentral describes it as "partial 23S ribosomal RNA". It matches the Rfam family "Bacterial large subunit ribosomal RNA", at positions 2834 to 2925 of the family's 2925-position model. Lineage: Bacteria; Bacillati; Bacillota; Bacilli; Caryophanales; Paenibacillaceae. The record is from RNAcentral.
CCCCUUGAAGACGACGAGGUUGAUAGGCCUGAGGUGGAAGUGCAGCAAUGUAUGGAGCUGACAGGUACUAAUCGGUCGAGGGCUUAUCCAAAAAC